RNAcentral lists this unclassified non-coding RNA (149 nucleotides) under uncultured fungus. RNAcentral describes it as "partial internal transcribed spacer 2". Lineage: Eukaryota; Fungi. RNAcentral also lists the same sequence under 1 other name. The record is from RNAcentral.
CAACCCUCAAGCCUAGCUUGGUAUUGGGCCUCGCCACUAACCUGGCGGGCCUCAAAAUUAGUGGCGGUGCCGUCGUGGCCCUGAGCGUAGUAAAUAUCCUCGCUAUAGGGACCCGGCGGUUACUGGCCAGCAACCCCCAACUUUUCUAA